AGUCAGGUCAGCAUGGGCUGUCAGCAUAUGGCCUUGGCUAGCCUUGUCUAGGCCGGGUUCUCUUUUCAACUUGUCUAGGAGGAGAGGAUGGAGAUGGAUGUGUGAGUGAAAGGAAAUGCUCGUGAAGCAAGGCGAGGCUGCUCCAUCAUCACCACGGCUCCUGUGUGCACGGGAAAGCUCAGCCCUCUCACCACCAACAGCUGGAGGAGAUAAUUCAUGUUCCAGGAGUGGUGGGCAGCCCGUGGACCCACGGGCAGAUGAUGGAUUUGCACCUCCAAAGCAGGUCACAUUUAGGAAAAAGAUUCUUAAAUAUUUCUUUGGAAGUAAACUGGUGCCAUUUCCAAAUUGAUUCAUCAAACAUUCUCAUGCCUGAAUUUGUGCACAAAUAUCAUGUGAAUGUUUUACUUUUAUCAACUCUGUCUUCUGGGAGGGAGUCGUGGUAUGAACAUAAGUUGCUAAGCUGAAGACAGGCGUUUUAAAGAUAAAUGGUAAACCUGAACUGGAAAUCCAUCUGGCCGGCUGCCUGCUCUAAUGAAUAACCCCACUUUGGCGCGUGCAAUGUAAGCAGAAAGUUCUCUCCCGGCCUCUUUCGUCUGUCAUGAAUCUACGAGACAGCCGACAUAAUAUCUGGGCGACAACGGUGCGCUAACAGCGCAUUUACAGCUGACUUUACUCUUCUGUGCCUCUGUGUCCUCGUUUCUAAAAUGGAGCUCAUCUCAAAGUUUUUGCUUAAAAGAAGUCCUGAUGCAAGCGGUGUCCUCUGGGUGAUGAUUAUACGUCAAUCAUGUUGUUAAAUGAAGAAUGCCCUUUGUCUUGCAUUGGAUAAGAUUGGAUAAUUAAGAAAACUCCCUCACCCCUCAAGCAUUGUUCAGUGUGUAUGGAGUGUAUGCAAGUAUAUGGAAGAAUCCAAUAGUUGGCAAAGAAAAACAGGAGAUAUUUAAACUGAAGACUGGGGCAAAGGAACCAAAAGGAGAGAAAAGAAAAUAUUUCUAAAACUUAAACUUAACCAGUUGCACUUCAUGUUUGAAUGACUACUUAUCUAGGACAUUCUUUCAGAGUUAAAGGUGUAAUGUUACUUGGACCUCCAUCUAUUGGCCGGCAGUAUGGCUUGGAAACCUUCAACACACAGUUAAGUGUCUGGCUUCUUUAUUUUA
Molecule: long non-coding RNA, 1154 nt
Organism: Eubalaena glacialis (North Atlantic right whale)
Lineage: Eukaryota; Metazoa; Chordata; Mammalia; Artiodactyla; Balaenidae
Exons: 4
Source: RefSeq, a predicted model, not a curated record